AAAGAGCAGAAGAGAACUUUGGGAAAGCAGAAGGGAAUUCCUAUAAAUAGUACACAAUUACUAGAAAGCACCAGGGAACUUUCUACUGACAUGGAACUUAUACCUGGAAGACGUCCCUGGUUUUAGCCUCUCCUGAAUGGAGAGGACUGGUUUGAUGGACUGAGAAGAGACUCUGGAUGCCUGUGUUAGUGAAGCUGAGCCCUGAUGAGCUUUGAGGGAAGGGAGCAGGGAGAACUGGGUGCUUUGGAAGGCCCCUGACCUUGGGACAGAUUCUGACAAGUGCAUAAUGAAACUCAAGGGAACAUUUCCAGCCUGGGAAAGUACAGCCUGCUAGAGACUGUCUCAGCAACAGGGCAGGGAAAAGCCAAGGACAUCAAAGCAGGAUGUAAUGAGGGAGAAGUUACUCAUGUUAGGGGGAAAAAACUGUUCUGCCUGAUGUGGUGGGACAGGCAUGGAGGCUGGGGCAGGAUAACAGAUCCAGCUGAGCAAGGGUGAGAGUGGGUUUGGGAUAACAUCAUAGUUUGGGGUAGUUGGUUCACAGGGUUUUUCAAAAGUUUGAAUGAAAGUUACUUCAGGAGGAGUGAAGCAGCCCAAGGUUUAGACCUUGGUACAGAUUCUCAUUUGGAAUAUUGUUCCAGUGUUUUGUUGAACUUGGUGGGAUGCUUCUGACUGCCAUCAAGCCCAGACUGUGUGAUUUGACUUUGACAAGCAGCCUUGGAGAAGAGUUUAAUCCCAGAAUCUGAGGGUGGAACUGCAACAUCACAACGGCAGCAGGGCUGUCUGGGGAGGUGCAGAUGGGAAAAUGCUGCCUGAGGCAGCAGAGCUGCACGACUGGCACAUUUGGAGAGGUCAGGUCGUUGCUGGACUGCUGCUUGACCCUGUCUGCUGUAGCUGGACCUGCUGUGCUCCGUGGGCUUUGUGGGGCUGCUCCCCUUGCAGAGAGCCCUGGCUGAGCUUCUGUGGCUCCCUGUGGUGCUGAAAUGCUGCUGCCAGCCUUCACUAUGAGCAAGAAGUGAUGCCUCUAACUUUUUGCUGAACAGACUCUUCUCCUGACACCUCCUGGAACCCUGGAUCCCACCAGAUGGGAUGUGGGACAACAGUGAAAGGAACCCCUUGGAAACAGCUGUUUUUGAACAGUGGGAAAUUAUUUUUGAGCAAAAAAAAAGGCGUUUUCUACUGGUAUCUUUUUUGUAAGUCCAAAACCUAAUCCAUUUUCAUAUUUUUCCAGAUUUAUUUGUGAACAGUUUGAGUUAAUUUUCUCAAAAGCAAGAUUUAUGGCUCGAAGAACAGCAGUAAUUUUGAAGUGAGAAAGAUUAUAAUAGUUAAAAUUUCAGAAAAAAAUUUAAACAUCGUUACAAUCCUUAUAGAGUAGAACAUUUUCAGUGCAUUUUGUUCACGUAUGACAUUCUUCAAAAAAGAGAACAACUUCUGAUGAGAACAGUUUAAUGCAGAAACUUCCAGUCAUGUUUCUUCCUUGCUUGAGAGGAUAAAAUAUAGUGAUAGAGAGCUUUGGGAUAACGUGUGGCUUGAGUAAAACCUUUCUAGCAAACAGUGCAGGCAGUCACAUUUAGACAUUUAGUAACUUCAUUUGUGCUGUUUAGUUCCCCUCAUUGUAAAAUAUUGAUUAUAUUUAAAAAAAUUGAUUAAAUGAGUACGUGAAGGUAA
Molecule: long non-coding RNA, 1665 nt
Organism: Corvus hawaiiensis (hawaiian crow)
Lineage: Eukaryota; Metazoa; Chordata; Aves; Passeriformes; Corvidae
Exons: 2
Source: RefSeq, a predicted model, not a curated record